Molecule: unclassified non-coding RNA, 849 nt
Filed under: Hevea brasiliensis (rubber tree)
Lineage: Eukaryota; Viridiplantae; Streptophyta; Magnoliopsida; Malpighiales; Euphorbiaceae
Source: RNAcentral
AAAUUGUUCGAAUCUCUGGUCUAGAGGAGGAUGGUAGGAAUAAUUUUCUUAUUUUUAAACAAAUAUUGCUUCUACGAUUGAUUUGGGAGUGGGAUAGUUUGGAACUACUCAAUAUUUUAGGAUAGCAAUAGCAUGGGAGUUACUUUUAGAUGGUUCAGAGCUUUUGAUGAAGAAAAUGGUGGAUCAUAGGAGGAGUUCUUUCUUUCGGUGUUAAUUGGCUGUGUUUGAUGUGAUGAAGGCAAGGAACUUCACAAGUCAUGUCAACUUAAAAUUAGUCUUAUUGUUACAUUUGCCACCUUUGCUUCACCUGGGUAGGAGAUGGCUGGUGUGAAGAAUUGUAGAUAGCUGAUGUGAAGAAUUGUAGGCCACUCAUUUCAGUGGGAAUACUAAUAAAAUAGUGGCACAGGCUACAGGUGCUAUCUAUGCUGAAGGCUUUAAUUAUAGUGGUGCUUUUACGAAUGUAAAAAUUGAAGAUAUGUAUAAAAUAAUGUCCUAGGUGCUGUCAUGAAUAUUGAUGGCUGUAAUUGGAGAGGUCCUUUGACAAAAAUGAAGAGCUUUUCUUUUGAUAGAGAUGGGUAUGAUUUAAAUAUUGUUGUUGUGGCUGAUGCAUGGGUAUGAUGGCUUUAAUUAUAGAGGUGCUUUUACAAAUGUAAAAAACUUAAAGAUAAAAUAAUGUCCUAGGUGCUGUCAUGAAUAUUGAUGGCUGUAAUUGGAGAGGUCCUUUGACAAAAAUGAAGAGCUUUUCUUUUGAUAGAGAUGGGUAUGAUUUAAAUAUUGUUGUUGUGGCUGAUGCAUGGGUAUGAUGGCUUUAAUUAUAGAGGUGCUUUUACAAAUGUAAAAAACUUAAAG